UUUUUUUUUUUUUGCGCGUUUCGUGGUUAAGCAAAGGGGUAAAUGCGUGAGUAUGUUGCUUUGGUGGAAAGGAUCCGAUAGUCUGAAUUCAGUUCUUUUUCCUAUGUCUCGAACACAAUUACAAGAUGUAUCCGUACACAACACCACACUCUACACACUCUUUUCGAGAUGUAUGCUAAUCUAAAACAUAUAUGCAACUAUACUUAGGGCAACUUCAGUGUGCAAAACAGUCGAAUCAUGACGGUGUGGCGGGGAAACAAACUAAUAGAGCAUGUGGUGAAGGUUGAAUGCUAUGUGUCAGAAUAGAAAUCAACUUCCAAAUAGCAUUCGAACUCUGAUGAAGAAAAUACGUUAUCUAGCACAUGGUGGAGGGAGGGAGGCAAGCAUAAGACUUUUCUCCGUUUGUGCGAGCAUAGGACAUGCAUGAAGACUAAUAUUUCUUUUUACUGCAAAAAGAGUCCCACCAAUCGAUGUUUGCGUUGGAGGUAUCGGACAUUAGUUUCAUUCAUUUCCCGUGAACAGCAACAGUUGGCACAACACUGGAGCUGCCCUUACUGAAGAGAUUCAUAAAGUCUUCGACUCUGCAAAUGACUGGUAGACAUGACAUCAUCUCAUUAUGGCUUGUCGGAGAUUGAAGGUAGAUAGUAAGUGCAUUUUAGGGAAAAUACUCGAUGCUACAAUGCUAAUGGUUAGCACUCUAUCGAGUGGACUUACUACCAAGUUGAAAAAGGUUGUUUCGUUGAAUUUGAAGAGCUGAGUCUUCUAGUUUGUACGAUAUCUUCUUUUCAAAGGAUCGUAAAAAAAUGGUUGUCGUGUUUUUUUUACAGUUUUAAAAAUAUAGAUAUACAGCUGGACGAGAUGAAUUUGUACGUGAUUCUAAUAUUUUAUUAUGAAAAUGUGAUAAUGGAACUCGUUAUGAAUGAAUAAACGCACGUAACUUUCAAGUUCGUUACCGCACUUCGUAACUCGAAUUUAGAUGGACAUGUUUUAUCCGCUAAGAUGGAGGUGUAAACGGUGUAAACACACCGACCGAGUGGUUGAUGCCAGUGGCCGUUCAUGUGCUGCCACGUGUUACAAAUCGCGUAUGCCCAGCUAGUGACACGCCCGACGCCUCUUGCCUCCCAGAACUUCAACUCCAAACCCGGUCAGCCGGUCCUGUUCCUGCUUGACACACUGUCACGUUAAAUGAGGCCGGGGCUGGCGUCAGCACGGCGGUGGAAACUGGAACGUUUUCCUCUCUUUACCUCGUCCAAAAAGAAAUCCUCUUUACAUUUUCUAAUGAAAAAAAGAAAUCGAGUUCAAACGAUUUAUUUGCUAAUCAUAAGUAUUUCAAUUGUUCACAAAUAAGUGACGUAGUAUCAUUGUCAAGAGUAUUAUAAUGUCUCGCAAAAAAAAAGAGUAUUACAAUACAUCAAUUUAGUUACAAAAGGUAAGUCAAGUACUAGUCUUAUAACUUUUGGGACAAAGUGAUUAGUUUAAACGUAAAUUAAUUAACUUAUCCUAAACAGCGUGUAUGUACAAACGGAGGGCAUAGCAUGAUAUUGCUUGUUAGUUUCAGCUUUAUCAGCCAUCAAACACAGUAUUUUCCUCUUACAACAAAUCAGCCAUUUCAGCUUUUCAGCCGGCUUAUAAGCUGAAGCGAACAGACCCAUUUUUACAGAUGUGUCUCGGUGGUUGUCAAGAAAAUAUUAGCAACUGCAAAAUUUUCAAGCGCAACGUUGUUUCGUAUAUCAAUUUAGUUACAGAAGGUAAGUCAAGAAGCAUGAUACUUUUGCAGAUGUCUCUGGCUAUCAAGAAAACAUUAGCAAUUGCAAAAAAUUCAAGUACAUCGGAGGAUAGCUAUGUAGUAAGGUGAACAGAAGCUGGAUCUUGCAUUUUUCACAAGAGCUUUAUACUGCAGCAUUGCCAUCUGCGAUGCCACAGCCCACAGCUUGCUUAAAAAGCAAUUUCUCCCCAGACAGUUAUACUAAACCUAUGUAUAUCUAUAUAUCUAUAACAAGUUAACUGCCAACCUUUGGGCAUAACACAAGACCAGUCACUCAAACAA
Molecule: long non-coding RNA, 2047 nt
Filed under: Setaria viridis
Lineage: Eukaryota; Viridiplantae; Streptophyta; Magnoliopsida; Poales; Poaceae
Description: long non-coding RNA (SVIR_LNC011338)
Source: RNAcentral